This is a long non-coding RNA of Oncorhynchus nerka (sockeye salmon), 10785 nucleotides long. RefSeq lists it as uncharacterized. The record is from RefSeq and is a predicted model, not a curated record. NCBI's taxonomy places the organism in Eukaryota, Metazoa, Chordata, Actinopteri, Salmoniformes, Salmonidae. The transcript is spliced from 2 exons.
AAGAAGCAUUAUUUUGACGUUCGGCGGCGCAUUUUUCAAAUCGAUGACGAGAAAAUAUUAACGUUGUUUGGGAGAUACAGAAGAAUAAGAAGAACAAACAGAAUGAGAGAAUAUUUCCACAGCUCCACGGGGUCUUUCCGCGAUUGGCGAAAGCAUCAUAUUUGAAGUUAGUUUUUAGGUUUAGCAUCGGGUUUACGUUUCCUGAACAACUUUUACAACAGUAGAGUCGCUGUACAUUACACGAUCCAGAGAAGAGGGUCCUGAACAGCCGUGUUUGAAAACAUUUCCCAGAACUCAGCAUGGUACUAGGUAAAGGGCUUUCAAUCCAUGGCUUGAAUAUUCUGUAAGUCAAGAUUCGAUUUAUUGUUUCGCCUGUAGUUAUUUUUCUCUGUUCAAUACACCUGAAUCUGCCUUCACAUCACAGUCAGGGUUUUGUAACUGGAAAAAGGCGCUGUUUAAAGAUUCUGGGUUUAAGCUCCAUUUGAAGGCAGAGCAUCAUAUCAAUGCUAUGUAUGCUUGGAAUCAGCAUAAAAGGGCUAUUGACAGCAACUCAUCAAUGUUAGAUGUCAUAAAUGAGGACCAGAAAAAGAAAGUGGAGGACAGUGCAAGAUUUGCAUUUUAUGUGCACUGUAAUGCACAUUGUUUGAAUUUAGUUCUUGUCGAUGCUGUAAAAUCAGUGCCUGAGGCAGUUAAUGCUAUAAAGCAGAAGCUUUAUAAUGUUCUAUUCUGGCUCGUAAGUUCAUCUCAAGUGGCUUGCAGUUCAGAAAGAGCUCUAGCCACAGCAGCAGCACAGGGAACUACAGAGACUUACGGAUGUAAGGUAGAUGCAGAUACAUGGCAUGCCGUAACCUGAGGGACAGGCUUCCAGCAGUUCUGAGAGUGCUACAGGCUAUCACACUUGAAAAUAGAUCAGUGGAGGUAAGGGGCCUUCUUUCUCAGAUAGAUUUACAUUUCAUAGGGCUUUUGGUUACCUUUUGUGAAGUGCUUGGUGAUGCCAAAUGUCUUUCUGACCGGCUCCAAUCAAGCUCUCUUGACCCAGCAAGGGCUGUGGACGUAGUAGGUGCCCUUACAGACACAUUACAGGACUACAGAAGUGAGGGUUACAUUGGAAAACUAUGGAAAGAGGUUGAAGAGAUGUCAGAGCACUGCAAAAUAAGUGUACAAACAGUGUGCAAAAGACAGCCUAAAACAAGCGUAAGAUUUCACUACUCAUUGAUGAUGAGCACUGUAGGACAGACAAAUAGUGACCAAAGUGAUGGUGAGAGUUUCCAAAGAGAUGUUUUAUCAGGUGCUUGACAGUCUCACAGCAGAGGUGUUUUUCAAAGAAGAAUUGCGAGAUAAUGCAAGGGGUCCAGUCUCUUAACGCAAAGAGGACAACAUUCUUGAAUGAGGAGCCUGUUUGCCUUUGCUCAUACCUUUGAGUCAGAUUUAGAGGACCUCAAACAUGAGGUUCAUCAAACCAAGCGGCUUCUUGAUAUGAGAGAGAAAAGUGGAAGGGACAGACCGUCUACUCUCCUCUCCUUGACUUUGUUGUGUUUCUAGAACCUUAUAAAAGAAGUCUUCCAUGAGCUAUUUCGACUUUGUAAGAUGUCUGUUGUUACACCAGUCAGCAAUGCUUCUUGCGAGAGAGGCUUCUCAGCUUUAAAACGGAUUAAAACCCACCGUAGGACAACAAUGGUUGAUGACAGGUUAAGUGACCUCUGAAUCCUCAGUGUUGAGUCAAGGAGGGCACGCUCCCUCAACAUGGAUGAGUUUGUGAAACAUUUUGACAGUUCUCAACAGAACCGCAGAAUUAUGCUGUUUUAAAUCUACCUAGGAUAAUUUGGCACUUAGGUGGUCCCUCUGGUCAUGAUUAAAACCUGCACUGUGUACUAGCUAGUACACUGACAUUCUAAAAUUAUAAAUCCAAAGGGUAUCAUGUCACACAGAUUUCAUUUGGUCUUGAUUAGGCCAAUUCCAAAACUUUUCUUUGAUAUUAGUGAACAUAAUAUAUGUGACCAUACAUAUGAUACUGUAAGUUUAUGAUCCUGUAAAUAUUGAUGGGCACCAAAAUUAUUUUUAAAGUCAAUUUCUGCGUUUGUGUGUGUGUGUGUGCGUGCGUGAAAUUGAGCUGCAGUUCCGAGGUAGAGACACUGACUAUUCAUAGUAUGUUAAAGAAUUCUAUUGAAGUAACCCUUUUGGACCACACUAUCUGCCACACUGAAGAACUUCAGGUUAAGUGAAUUAUCACUUCUACCUCUAAUCAGCAAUCAUACGAUUCAUUCAUGCACCUUAGAUGCCAGGUUAGGGUUACACACUCAUUUUCUGUCAUGGUCCAUGGACCCCCUGAAGUAGCCUUGGCCACCCCAUGUAUAAAACUCUUGUUCCGCCACUGAGUGGAGCACGUCGCCUAAACAGGUGUGCGUUUCUUUCGCCUCCAGAUCAACCUGUUAAUAUAAAUGACCAUAUUCUAAAUGUGUUUUCUGUCAUUCUGAGCUCCGUGGGUGGAGGCUCUAAUCAGGUUACGUGUCCAAUGCAUGAAUUAAAAUGUUGCCGGUCAAAUGUCCGGCUCCACAUUUUCCUAAUGGAAACCUUGGACCAACAGUAUCAAAAGCGGGAUUAAGAUCCAAAAUAACUAGAAUAGAGAAGUCACCAGGAUCAGCAGCCAACAAGGUCUUUACUCACUUUCAAUAAAGUAGGUUCCAUACUGUGCAGUGAGCCCUACUGGAAUUCUUCAAAUAGGUUCAUACUCAAACAAGCCACUAAUUACUUGAAAACGACUUUUUCUAAAAAUCUAGGAUAAAAAAAAGCAAGUUUAGCGAUAGGUCUAUAAUUACACAGUGAGGGGGGGUCUAUAGACUGGUCUUUUUAAGGAGAGGUUGAACCAGAGCAGUUUUAAAAUUGUCUGGAAAGGAGCCAGAGGUCAGGGAGCGAUUUACAAUAGACAGAAUGUUGGGGCCAGCAGUAGGCAUAAUAACCUCUUAUAGUAGUCUAGUAGGGAUCACGUCCAAGGGGCAGGAGGAGGUCUUCAUGUAAGCUACAGUAUCAAGGAGGAACUCACAGGAUAUUUGCUGAAAGGAGCUAAAGGAAGCAGUAGACAGCCUCAGAGUAGUUGCCUCAAGUGCCUCCUGACCAGAAAAGCUGGGAUUGUGUCGACUACUGUCAAUCUGGAAUCUAAUCUUUUCUAUAAAGAAUCAGAAAAACUGUUUGCAGAGACCAAGGGAUGUGAGCAUGUCAUUCUUAGUUUCUACUGGUGCCACUGAGUCUAAAGCAGCCUGACAUAUGUCACUGAAACUGCAAAUCAUGAGUGUGAUGACAAAGAACAUGAUCAGUAGUAGGGGAUUUAAAAGCUUCAGUACAUUUAUUAACAGUUGUGGAGUUAAUGAUGCCUGAGAGUGGGGACAGACGUUUUUAAGAGGAGGAGAAAGAAUUUUUAAAACAAUACUGAGAUGGUCAUAGACACACACAUCAAUAGUUUCCAAGUUAUCAAACCAUAGGACAGACAGCACGAGAUCAGGGGAUGGCUUUUGUUGUGUGUAGGUCCCUGUGGCGUAGAGCACAAGGCUAAAGGGUUCUAAUAGGUUAAGAAACGCCCCAGAUAGCUCAUUAUUUAGGAAACACACAUGAAUGUUUAGAAUAAUAACUCUGUCAUAAUUAGGCGCAACCAAAGAGAGCAGGUAGGAGAAUUCUGCAAUGAACAAACUAUUAGGUUUAGAAGGGUGGUACACUAAAAUAUACAAGGAGGCCUGUUUCUUGUUCAAGUAAAAGAUAAGACUCUCAAAUGAGGACAUUCUUCCACAUGACACCGGGCUACAUAUAUACUUGUCUAUGAAUGAUGGCUACUCCCCCACCACGGCCAGGAUUUCUGUCGAUAAGAAGGGGCUGGAGGGAUAGAUUCAUUUAGAUCAGGUAUUCCCAAACUGGGAUACGCGCAAUGCCGUCGGAGGUACUCCAAAUAAACAUUUGGUUCACUUUUUAUUUUUUGUUAUUACAUAAAAUAUAUUUUAAAAUAUUCACAUUUUCAAACAGUACAUUUAUAUUUUCCCAACAGGCCUAUACAUUUGGGUGUGUUUUUUUCUCACCUGAGUAGCCUCGUUUCACUGCCAAAAAUAAAAUUAAACCAUCUAGUGUUCAGUGAAAUAACAACACAAUGUCAAAUACAGGUAGUCUAAUCAAAUAAUUAACAUCCAAUCACAUUAACCAUUACUCUAUCGCAGGAAACCUUCACUCUUGUGCAGACAUUUAGAAAUUAAACAUGACAAUUUGAAAAAUAAGCCACAGGAGUUUUUUGAGCGAGAAUAAAGAUGACUUUCGAGUAGUAAGACAUGUAUAAAAGCAACAGAUACCAUUCAUAAGAAGGGCUAGAAGCGUCUUGUAUGGUGAGCUACCGAGUGGCUAGGACAGGCAAGCCCCAUAUUAUUGUGGAGGACUUUAAUUCUUCCUGCUACCGCAGAUAUGGCUGGGACAAUGUUGGGGGAAAAGGUUAAAAAAAAAUAUACAGACAAUGUCUCCACCAAACAAAACCGUUUCACGAUGCAUCAGUGACAUGGCAGGAGAUGUUUUGAAACAAUUACUGCUUUGCAUACAAGCCAGUGAAUUCUAUGCAUUACAGCUGGAUGAGUCAGCAAACGUGACGGGCCUGGCACAGCUCCUGGUAUAUGUUUGUUACGUUUAUGAGGGGUCAAUUAAGGAAGACAUCCUCUUCUGCAAACCACUGGAAGCCAGGACAACAGGAGAGAAUACUUUUUUAAAGUACUGGACAGCUUUGUGACAUCAAAUGGACUUUGGUGGUCAAGAUAUUUUGGUAAUUGUACUGAUGGUGCAAAUGCCAUGACAGGAAGACAUAGUGGAGUGGUAACGUGCAUGCAUACACUGCAGCAUCCACCGAGAGGCUCUUGUUGCCAAGGGAAUGCCUGACAGCUUGAACGACAUUUUGGACACUACAGUGAAAAUGGUUAACUUAGUUAAAGCAAUGCCUCUAAAUUCUCGUGUAUUUUCUGCAUUAUGCAAUGAUAUGGGCAGCGACCAUGUAAAGCUUUUACAACAGACAGAAGUGCGCUGGUUAUCAAGGGGCAAAGUAUUGACACGUUUUUUUUUUUUUUUAAUUGAGAGACGAGUUUAAAGUGUUCUUUACUGACCAGAAUUUUCCCUUGUCUGACCGCUUGCAUGAUGACGAGUUUCUCACAUGACUGGCCUAUCUACGUGAUGUUUUUUCUCGCCUGAAUGAUCUGAAUCUAGGAUUACAGGGACUCUCUGCAACUAUAUUCAAUGUGUGGGACAAAAUUGAAGCUAUGAUUAAGAAGUUGGAGAUCUUCUCUGUCUGCAUUAACAAGGACAACACACAGGUCUUUCCAUCAUUGUUUGAUUUGGUGAACUGUCAAAUGUGAUAUAGCGAAGCACCUGAGUGAGUUGAGUGCGCAAUUACUCUCCCGAAACAGAUGACACAAAUAACUGGAUUCGUUAUCCCUUUCAUGCCCUGCCUCCAGUCCACUUACCAAUAUCUGAACAAGAGAGCCUCAUCGAAAUUGCAACAAACGGUUCUGUGAAAAUUGUAUUUAAUCAGAAGCAACUGUCAGAUUUCUGGAUUGGGCUGAGCUCAGAGUAUCCUGCCUUGGCAAAUUGCACUGUUAAGACACUGAUGCCAUUUGCAACCACAUACCUAUGUGAGAGUGGAUUCUCGGCCCUCACUAGCAUGAAAACUAAAUACAGGCACAGACUGUGUGUUGAAAAUGAUUGAAGACUGAGACUCUCCAAUACAACACAACAUUUGCAGAGUUAUGUGCAUCCUUUCAAGCACACCCUUCUCAUUAACCUGUGGUGAGUUUUUCACCAUGUUUGAUGAACAAAUAAGGUUUUAUAUGUAAGACGGUUAAAUAAAGAGCAAAAUGAUUGAUUAUUGUAUUAUUAUGUGUGCCUUGGUCCCAUAAGAGCUCUUUGUCACUUCCCAUGGGCCGGGUAGUGACAAAAACUCACACUCAUUCUUAUGUUUAAUAAAUGUAUUGUAUAGUGUGUGUGUGGCAGGCUUACAAUGAUGGCAAAAAAAAACAUUUGAGAGUUCGCUGACCCUGGUGCUAGAGGAGGUACGCAGCUGGAGGUUGAAUGUUUGAAGGGGUACGGGACUAUAACAAGUUUGGGAACCACUGAUUUAGAGAACUGAAGUCCUUGGUUUAAGCCAAGUUUCAGUAAGUAUGAAAAUAUCAAUGUAAAAUCAAAUAACAAAAUCAUUGCAUAUGAAUGACGUAUUUAGAGAUCUUACAUUCAAUCUUGACAUGGAUUGCUGCCGGAUUGACAGAGGUAUUCAGGGGAUAGAGGAACAGAAAUGAGGUUACUUACACUACGGGGGAUAAUAUGCUGUCCAUGUCCUCUGUGUCACGUUAGUCAAAAAUUAUUCGGGACACAGGAGCAGGAAUGCGUAAUAGUUUUUUUUAUUGUACCCAAAUUACGGCGUGCCGUGGAAAGGCACGGGGAUGAAGACCAAACAAACACGUACACAAAACACAGGGUUGAGUCCCAAACAAAAGAGCGAGGAGUACCUUGAAUAAUUAACAUGCACAACGUGCACAAUGAUUAACACACGGGACGAGACCAGGAAUCAUCUGCGCAAUUCACAAUGGCACGAAAGCCAAAACACACAGCACAGGUACUCACACGCACAUUGUAACAAUAAAUGGACAGCACCAUGGUAUACAAAUACUAAUCAGUGGGAAGAGGGGACAGGUGCGCGUGAUGAAAGUUCUGGAGGAAUCCGUGACACUCUGGUGCUAAUUAUGACAGGGAGGACUGGAGAACUAACAGACCCAGGCCGUCAGUCUCUAAAACAGUUUGCUACGUUGCUGGAAAUAAUCCUGGAACCCGUGCAGUUAGGGUGAAUCCAGUCUCAUUUAAAAGAGUGCUGGCUGCUCCCAAAGCAAGUCAAAAUUGUCAAAGAAAGUAGCCCAGAAGCUGAACUGGUACACUCACCCAUUCCCUCAUUGAGAACACAACAAUAAUACAUCUGGUGAAUGAAUCAAGAUGAGCUGACAUAUAGUAGGGAAAGAGAGGGCUGUGUUGAGACAGAUGAUGUGCUGCUCUCUGGUCCAUUCCAAGCUCCCAGCCCAGACUCCCAGACUGACAAUCACAGAACCUCUAUCUGACCCUGCCAGCAGGAAACAAACUCUCCCAAGAUAAGCCCUAUCUUCUUCACAAGCAGACCAGACUAUAUGUGUGUGUAUAUACAAGACUACAGUAGGAGCAGUAGAAGAUAUUCUUACUGUUGUGAUACAGUAGCGAUGAUGAUGUGUGCGCAGUCGCGCACAAAUGUGUGUGUGUGUGUGUUGUUUGUAUGCCCUAAUGUGUUCAGACUCAAUGUUACCCGGCGUUGAGUGGUGAGGUAACACCACGGAGACAGAGAGCAAUCAAUCAACCAAUCAUUAGAAUUCCCAACAAGCGGCUCUAAAUCUCUGUGGCAUGCUAAUCGAUAGCACUUAGCCUGCACCCCCAGUAUUAUGCAAUGCCACUGUGGUCCACUGCUCUGGCAGACUAUCGCCCUGCCACACACACACACACACACACACACACAGGACUACCCACAGAGCAUGACAGCAGGUCAAUCAAAUCUAUCAACACAAUUGCUCUCAAUUAGAUCAGGGAUUGAUGAAAAGUUGGCUGGUGUUUUUAGGUGUGAGUGCACAACUAUGACGCCUUAUGCAACAACAGAGGGCUUUUAUAUGGCCCAAUACUGUAACCUUGAUAUUGGCUCCCUGGAAGAGAUCUAUAAAAGGAGGAAUGAUAGCAAAUUGAGAGUGAGAAAGAGUGUGAGAAAAAGACAGAUGGAGGGAGACGGGGAGUGAAUGGGAAAGCAGACGAGUGAUUUUCUGUUUGCUGUAAGGGCAGUCAGCAGGGCCAAAUUGGGGUGCAGUGGCUACUAGCUAGGUGCAGUAGGAGCUCAGACAGACAGAUAGACAGAGCUGAACAGUAUGGCACAGAUGCACAUGUUCCUUUAAGAGAGGCUGCACUCAAUGGAGAUCACAUGUCUGGGGCCUGUCCUGCUGACUCAGGCCUUCCACUCCACUGCUAACCUCAAAUCACACAGGAGGGAGGGGAAGAGAGAGAGACAGAGAGGAAGGCUUAACUCAACUUAACAGGACUCAGGAGGCAGAGACAGAGAGUGGGGGUGGAGAGGGAGGGAGAGAGAGAGUGCAAGAGAGGAUGGGGUGCAGACAGGAAGGUAGAGGGAGAGCCGAAGAUGGAGUAAAUAAUGAAGGGACAAAAGGCGGGAAAAUGCAACAACACAGUCCGUACAGUCAACACUUCUCUGCCUCUCGUUUCAGGCGGGAAACUAGUGGUUGUAACAUGGGAUAGAGAGAGCCCCAUGUGACCUCCGUAACAACAUAGCACCCGCCACCCUUAUGUAACAAACGUUAUCUCAACAUCCUGAGAGUGUUACGAGCUGAUAAAAAACAACAACAAAGUUGGUCCUGUCCCUGCAGCAGGCUGUGAUAUGAUGUGGUUCAAAGGCGAGGUAAUUAACAUAAUGGGUCUGGUCUACAGGGAUGAUGAGGGAGGGCUUCUGACUGACUGAUGGCUCCUUCCUGUUGUCGUACUAUAGGUAAGCUCUCCCUUUCCCCUCAUCUACAACAGGAAAUGGCUCUGGACACACUGUACAUUCUGUAAGGGAAAGAUCACUACCUGUCUGGACACAAGCCACCGCCUCAGAGGAAAGACGUGUAAGGUAAUUAAACACCAUGGAAACGGAGGGAAGUAAUGCCAUGCAGGGGAGCGGGGGAUAGAGGAGAGGAGAGCAGCUGGAGCUGUCAUAGCAAGACAAUGAUACACACAAUUACAGUACACACACACAAAUACGUCACACACGGUACACUGAAUGUACAAAACAUUAGGAACACCUUCCUAAUAUUGAGUUGCACCCCGCCCCGUUUGCCAAACACAACAGCCUUAAUUGGUCAGGGCAUGGACUCUACAAGGUGUCGAAAGCGUUCUACAGGUAUGCUGGCCCAUGUUGACUCCAAUGCUUCCUACAGUUGUGUCGGUUGGAUGUCCUUUAGGUGGUGGACCAUUCUUGAUACACACAGGAAACUGUUGAGCGUGAAAACCCCAGCGGUGUUGCAAUUCACACUCAAACCGGUGUGCCUGGCACCUACUACCAUACCCUGUUCAAAGGCACAAAUCUUUUGUCUUGCCCAUUCACCCUCUGAAUGGAACACAUACACAAUCCAUAUCUCAAUUGUCUCAAAGCUUAAAAACCCUUCUUUAACCUGUCUCCUCCUCUUCAUUUACACUGAUUGAAGUGGAGUUAACAAGUGACAUCAAUAAGGGAUCAUAGUUUUCACCUGGUCAGUCUAUGUCAUGGAAACAGCAGGUGUUCCUAAUGUUUUGUACACUCAGUGUAUAUGCACAAACACAACACACAGUGAUAUCAGAGCAGUGUGAAAGGCGAGUCGUAAUCCCACUCCCUGGCUUCUCAGUAGCAGAGAGAGUGGAUGACAGGAUCAAAGGCUUGCUGUAGGAGCUGUCACAAAUCAAUGGAGAGAAACCUGGGAGGAUUACCCUCAUGUCCUACACACAAGCCUUUUACAGCCUAUUCAAACAUGUCUGUGAAAACACAAUUGGCACCACUGCCAUUUGCACAUGCACGUAUAAAUUAGUCAUAGGAAGUUGAGUGAUGGGAAAAUGGAAAUCUGACUGGGUUCACUACCUAUUUAAAAAGGAAUGCUGGUGAAAGUAGAUGAAGCAGUAUUUCACAUUAUACUGUACCGUAAUUUAUAGCAGUGGCAGUACUUCUGUUCAUAUACAUCUAAGUGAUAUUUAACUUCUAUACUAGUCAGAUACUUAGAGAAGGAAGGGUGAUGUAAGGUAGUAACUGUGGGGGGGUGUACCUGGGUCCAGGGGCGAGGGAGGAGGGCUCUGGUCUGCUGGGUAUAGUCCACACAUCUGGUGUUUCCUCCUUGGACUUCAGAAAGCACUUGGCCUCCUUGGAGUCAGCAUCUACCUCUUUGGUUACUCUGAAGACAGUAACAGGCAGACACUUAAACCCAGGACUGUAUUAGUGGCCUCAGUCUAAUGAGCAUAAGUAGAGAUCAAAUUACAUAACACUGUACAUUUCUCAAGAAAAGGACACACAAGGACAGACACACACACAGACAACAAGCUGAUAAACUGAUAAACACACAACAAGCCUUGGGUUGCUUUGGCACAAACAAAUUGCCAACCUCUCUCUAAUGCCAUUUAAUAUCAUGUUUACAUACCCUACAUUACUCAUCACAUAUGUAUAUACUGUACUCAUUUAAACUGCUGCAUCUACUGCAUCUUGCCAUCUUUAUGUAAUACAUGUAUCACUAGCCACUUUAAACUAUGCCACUUUAUGUUUAUAUACCCUACAUUACUCAUCUCAUAUGUAUAUACUGUACUCGAUACCAUCUACUGCAUAUUGCCUAUGCCGUUCUGUACCAUCACUCAUUCAUAUAUCUUUAUGUACAUAUUGUUCAUUCCUUUACACUUGUGAGUAUAAGGUAGUAGUUGUGGAAUUGUUAGUUAGACUACUCGUUGGUUAUUACUGCAUUGUCGGAACUAGAAGCACAAGCAUUUCGCUACACUCGCAUUAACAUCUGCUAACCAUGUGUAUGUGACAAAUACAAUUUGAUUUGAUUUAAUUCUCUCACACACACACAUAAAAACACACACACACAUAAAAACAUAACCCCAGUGAAAAAAUAUAUGUAUUUUCUUAAACCAAAAACCGACAUGGCCGAUGUUUCAUUAACCCCUUAGGUUGGUCACUGUUUACAAGCCAAUAAAACCAACAAAUAUGUU